This 111-nucleotide ribosomal RNA is filed under the name Dipodomys ordii (Ord's kangaroo rat). The record is from RNAcentral. Lineage: Eukaryota; Metazoa; Chordata; Mammalia; Rodentia; Heteromyidae.
UGUGACGGCCAUAUCCCCCCCUGAACAUGCCAGAUCUCAUUUGAUCUCAGAAGCUAAGCAGGAUCAGGCCUGGUUAGUACUUGGAUGAGCGUACACAGGGUUUUUUUGCUU